AUGGACCGCAAGCGCAUCAACGACGCGCUCGACAGGCACCUGCGGGCGGCCACGGAGCGGUCGUCGCCCUCCACCUCCCGCGGCGCCAAGCCCAAGCCGCCCCCCGCCGCCGCCCCCAAACCCAAAGAGCAGCUGGAUUCGGACAGCAGCGAGGGGGGCAGCGCCGGCGGGUCCUCGGAGGCGGACGACACGUUCUGGAUCAACUGGUUCUGCGCCAUGAGGGGCAACGAGUUCUUCGCCGAGGUCGACGACGACUACAUCCAGGACGACUUCAACCUCUGCGGCCUCAGCGCCCAGGUCCCCUACUACGACCACGCCCUCGAUCUCAUCCUCGACCUCGAGCCCGUCCAGGGCGAUGUGUUUGCCGAUGACCAGAAUGAGCUGAUUGUCGCGUCCGCGGAGAUGCUUUACGGUUUGAUCCACGCCCGGUACAUCUUGACCACCAAGGGCUUGGCUGCCAUGCUGGAGAAGUUCAAGAACUGCGACUUUGGAAGGUGCCCCCGCGUGUCCUGCUCUGGUCAGCCCUGUCUUCCAAUGGGGCAGUCCGAUAUCCCUAGGUCCAGUACCGUGAAGAUAUAUUGUCCCAAAUGCGAAGAUCUCUACUACCCCAGAUCGAAGCACCAAGCCAAUACAGACGGAGCAUACUUUGGGACGACGUUUCCUCAUAUUUUCAUGAUGACCCACUCACAACUGAAGCCACAGAAGCCAGCACAGCAAUACGUUCCCCGGAUAUUCGGCUUCAAAGUUCACAAGAAAACAUGA
RNAcentral lists this ribosomal RNA (762 nucleotides) under Triticum aestivum (bread wheat). RNAcentral's name for it is "partial small subunit ribosomal RNA". Lineage: Eukaryota; Viridiplantae; Streptophyta; Magnoliopsida; Poales; Poaceae. The record is from RNAcentral.